This 1332-nucleotide long non-coding RNA is filed under the name Homo sapiens (human). RNAcentral's name for it is "HSALNT0299174". Lineage: Eukaryota; Metazoa; Chordata; Mammalia; Primates; Hominidae. The record is from RNAcentral.
AGGAGGUGGUGGCAUGUGCCUAUACCUUGCAGACCAUCUCGAGUUUAUCUCAUUUAAUCUGCAAAAUACUCUGAGAUAGGAAAUAUAAUCUGAGAUGAUCCCUGUUGCCCAAACUCCCAGGUUAGUGAAUGGGGAGGAAGGAUUCGAAUUCAUUUCUCUGACUCUGAAGCUCCUGCUUUUUGUACCAUAUGUCUCUGUCUCUCCCUAAGGCAUGGAGAGAUUACAACCCUUGUCCAAAGUCACUUCAUCUGGAAGAGGUCAGGCUAAACUGAAGGUACACUGACCCUUGUCUAAGUCUUUCUGGAUCAACUUUCAUUGUAAAUAUUUUCUCCCUGAUUGUGCAACGCUCAGCAGUUACUUACCAGGGCUGCAAAGUGAAGAUAAGCUUGCAAGAGAGGAACCACCCACCUCCCCCGAGUGAACCAUAGGCAAUUUCUGAAUGACUCUCAGGCUGUCAAAGGCAAUUGCCACAAGAGGUCAACGCCAAGGCUGCUCUGCAGAUAUGACCAGGGCUCAUUUUUUCCAUGAUCUUAGAGAAACUGGAUAAGCCCGGGGCAAAUCGGGCCCAGAGAUGAGAUGGGUGAAGUACAGACAUGAAAGAAGCAAUGCCUGGGAAGGUACUCAAGAAAAAGCAUGAUGUGGUGGGGAAGGGCUGCAGCCCAGCCCUGUGCCUGCAUCCCACGCAUUUCUACUUGAUUCCUUAGCUCCCUAAACCUUGCUUGUCUCAUCUGUAAGGUGGAGAUAAAAAUAACAGUCUUCUUUUAUUAUGUGAGUUGCAAAUGACAGAGUGCAUGUGAAGGCUCCUGGUGCCAAAAAUGUUAGCAGAAUUGAGUGGAAGCAGAGUGAACACUCACUGAGGGCCGGGAGACUUAGGAGGGAGCUGGACCCCCCGGGAUGCUUUGCUGGAUGACCACAGCUUGGGGAGGGGGCUACUGCCUUUGGAGAAUGGCAACACUAUCAUGCAGCUCAGAAGGCUGGAGUCUAAUACCCUGCUCAGCAACCAGGCAUAGUCCAUUCCAUCACAGAGCCUGGGUUCACCUUGAGGACAGUGAGAACUCAGCCCUGGCCAUGUGGAAGUCAAAGCGUGCAGCACCUACGUACAUGGACCUCACCUGUCAUCCAAGUCUCCAAACCACACUGCAAUACAAACAUCGCCAAAGUAGCAGGCUUCUCUCCUCUGGGUGACAUCCACAGGGCAGAUCUGAGCAACACUUAGUGUCUCCUGGGACCUUCCCAGCCUCGGACAGAAUGGUUGUUAGAGGAACAAGGCACCAGGGGCGUGAUGAGAGCUUAGCUGAAAGGAGAGAAGACUCAGCAAGCACAUCACCUUGA